Molecule: RNA transcript, 811 nt
Organism: Telopea speciosissima
Lineage: Eukaryota; Viridiplantae; Streptophyta; Magnoliopsida; Proteales; Proteaceae
Exons: 4
Source: RefSeq, a predicted model, not a curated record
AAAAAAGAUGGAUUUGGCCAAAAACCCCAAAUAGGAUUGUAGGAAGAUCACCACUACCAUUCACCGAUCAAACCAUGGGAUUUGGAGAAGGAGAAAGAGAGUGGGUGAUGAUGAAACCCAGCCGCAGCGAUGAUGUGUUGGAGGCAGAGGAGCAGUUGAGGAUCGCCAGUAAGAUCAGGGAUCAUUUCGAUUCCAUGGCACCCAAACGACCCAUCAAGCCCAACCGCAGCGAACCUGAUUCUUCUUCUUCUUCUUCUACUGUGUCUUCCUUGGAUGGAGAAAACGUUCCUGAAUACCACAAGUUCCUAUCACUCAAAUCACAACAAUCUAAUCCAAUCUUUUCAGGUGGAUCAUCGUUAGUGCAAGAGGAGUUUGUAGAGACACCCUAUUACAAGGAGUUGAAAUCGAUUGACAAGCAACAUCACACGACAGGGAGUGGGUUUAUAAGGGUGGAAGAAAGCUUCGGAGAUGGAUAUGGUCUAGAGUUGGACAUGGGUGGACAUGAACAUGUGCGACGAGCAGGAAAGACGACGGUUUUCAGAAGCAAUCCAGCAACAAACGACUGGAUCCCUAGCACUGAAGUAGAAGGGGAGGUAGAUUCAAAAUUUCCGAUCUAGAAACUUUAGUGGGUGUUCAUCAAUCUUCGAAGCUGGGCGUAUGUUGAUAUUACAGCCAAUUUCGUCUCUUCCAAGCCCAGUCGGAGCGAGAGUUUAUUGGAUGACUGAGCCUUGCUUUCCUGCAUCUGUAUCUUCGACAGAAGAGAGAGAGAGAGAGACUUUUUGUUCUCUGGGAAACUGUAGACAUGUUUUUU